CGGCACACUGCUUCUCGUGCCACAGGUGGAACAGGCCCCGGGACGGCGCCCGCACCACCAGGAGGUUGCUGUGGAGGUACUUCCUGUAGAGGUGGACGUCCUCACCUCCCCAGCCUUUGAUGUCGAUGUCAAAGCCUCCUGCGAGAACGGAGAGUAAACAAGAUUUAAAAACUUGCCGCUGCACAGCUUCGUUACACGUGCUGUUGUGUAAAGAGGCCUCUUGAUAUGCAAGCACUUGUUUUCUCUGCACUGUGUUCACUAACUCUUAGUGGAAUGCUGUUUGUGAGUCCUGAUUAGAGCAAACAGAACGUGAUCAUAAUCUCUAGACUGCACGGUGGUCGGUUGUUUUGUGAGGAGGCAGCGAGGAACCUCUCGACUGACGGCAACAGAUCUCGACCGGGCGUGUUUAAAUCUGCCUCUUUGCAUGUCUGGACCGCGAUGUUCUCACUUGGUGUAACACAAGCUGGGUGUUUUGUUUUGGAUUUUCUCUUUCGGCCUCCUCUCUUCACUCCUGCUCCGGGGCUAAACCGAGAGAAGACAUGAACCCAGCAGAUGAAUUGUUCAUUUGUUUGUGCGUACUCUCCUUCUAAAUAAUGAAUUCCAUUGUCAUUUCUGAUGAGCAUAAACCCGCAGGACUAAAUCGUGUCUUAAAGGAGAAGUUUGACGAUUUGUGAAACAUGGUCAUUUUCUUUCCUGUGGAGAGUCAUCUGAGACAAUUGUGGUUCCUUUAGUUUAGCAUAAAACAUGAGAAAAAAAAGGGGAAUCAGCACUUGAUGGUUUCCUCUGAAUAAUAACAAGAUUUCAUGGAAGUCACUGAGCAUGAAGCAGCUGUAAAACCACAACUUGACGUUUCUGCACGCAUCAAGUCUUUCAAAUCCAUUUUCCGUUUUCUUUGACACCUGGAAUGACACAUACAAGCUUUCUCUCAUGUGACACUAAUGUUUGGGUAUUUAGCCACAUGAACAGUUUUAUCAUUUUGGGUUCAAUAGCGCCGCUUUGGAUAAAGUGACGCCUUCGAGAAUUACCGCUGUGGCCUUUUGUCAUCAUGAAUGACCUAGAUGAUGGUGAAAAGAAAUCCAGUAGGUCACAGGUAAUUCUGCACUCUGUCAAAGUUGUUACCUCCGCCAGACCCCUUUAUAAUUGUUAUUAUUAUUAUCUUGUCAUUCAGGGAGCAUUAAGCUGGUUUGCAGUCAUAUACUCAGAUUGCAUUCGUACCAGAUAUAGAAUACAGCACAGACAAUAUAUGAUAAUAACCACACAGUCAGUAAUAAUAAGAUGAUGAGAAAAUCGAAUAAAGCAAAUAACGGCCACGUCUGGUGGGAGUGGUGCAGUACGCAGCAAUAAAAGCAAUAAAACUUUGGAGGGAAACCAAAUUGAUGUAAAUCUGCCGUGAGACCCAAUGUUCCUGAUCUAAUAUACGGAGGGAGAGGACGGAGAGGCUACGAGAUGAGAUGCUAAUAUAUGCUGCUGCUGCUGCUCAGAGCUACUUCAUGCAGAGUAAUAUAAUAAAAUCCCAUCCGAGUUAGGAGAGUAAUGCAAUGUCGAGCCAUUUGUGUUUCCCCCCCCCACAUCCAUUAAGUCAUUGCACCAUUAACAUAGCUGUGCAUAUUUCCGUCGCCAUCCAGGAAGCCCAUUUCUACCCUCCGUUAUGCAACGCCUCUGCACAAAUGAUCUACCCCCAGGAGCCGCUGUUUAUAAAUCCCUGCAUUGCUAAGUGAGAUGUUGUGUUGGAUACGACUGCGGUGUUCUAAUUGUUGUUAUUCUCUAAUAUUUACCUAUGUUAAUGAAGUCGGAGCGGUACUGGCAGGUCAUGCCGAAGCCGAAAUCCCUCCAGAACCCCGUGUCCUUCUUGAUCACCUGCAGGGAAAACCACCACAGGUCUCACAGAGGUCGGUAACAUGUCAGAUCCAUACACAGGGGAGGAACUUCAGUAGCUUCUCUGGGUUUCUACACAGGAGCACCUCCCAGGUAUAAAGCACAAUGUUUCCAAGAAGUGGCUUGCAGAAAGGUUAAAAAAAGACAAAUGGAGAACAUCAGAUUUGAUUGGUGCGUUUGUGUGUGUGUGUGUGUUUGUGUGUGUUACCAGCUGCUGCUCCACAGUUGGGACGUGUUCAGGGCUUCCAUAGAUCAGAGUGGGGUUGUACUGGCUGAAUAACACUGGGUAGAAAACCUUUUUACCUGCGAUGUAGAGAGACAGGGUUGUCAGACAGCUAGGAAAUUAUUUAUAACGGAAUGUGUGUGUGUGUGUGUGUGUGUGUGUGUGUGUGUGUGAGUGAACUCAUAGCUUUGUGAGGACACAUUCUGGGAAAGUGAGGACAUGUGGCUCAGUGCUCGCUUGCUUUUAGGGUUAGAAUUAGGUUUAGGUUUAGAUUAGGCCUGAAACACAGCAUUCUGAAUGAGUGCUAUAGGAGCAGAGGUGUGAAUAAACAAUUAUAAGUUAAUAAAAUAAUGACAUAAGGGAAGUUUAAAAGACCAAAGGCACAGGUGAGGCAGCAGUGGGUUGACCAAAAGAGGUUUUAAACGUCCGACCUCUAGGUUUUUCUCUUUGUUUGUUUCAGACAGAGGUGAUUGGGAAUAGGUGUUAUGCCCGAGUGGUUAGGUUCAGGGCCAGGGGUCAGGGCUAGGAUGGUUGGGAUGGGCGGUUUGUCAAGACAAUAGAAUCUCAAGGAGGGUUAUGGUGAAAUGACCCCAACGGUUAAGCAUUAAAAGCAAUUAUGCCACUGAGUGUUCUCACAAAGAUAGAAGUGUAUGAAUGUAUGAGUCUCACCGGGUUGUGUGUUGAGUCGGCAGCUGUUGAGGAAGUCGGCGGUGAAGUAGAUGUCCACGUCGCAGAAGAAGAGCAGCACGUUGCCUCCCUUCCAGGCCCGCGCCCCGACGUCCAGACCUCGACCCCGAGAAAACUCCUCGUCCAGCUGCAGCAGAGUGAAGUUCUUAAAGUUCACCUCCCUGCAGAAACCCAGUGAGGAACGAGAGCGGCGAGACAGACAAGCAGAAGAUGUGGUGAGAGUAAAGAGGAACAGCUGGAUCCAGAUGUGCACAGCUGCCGCUUUUUCCUUAACAACGCGCACUAUCUGUCAGAGGCUCCACGGAGAGUCGCUGACCUACGUGUGAACUGAAUGAAAUGCCACGGCAGCACGACAGGCUCGUUUGAGAGGCUGAAACUUGUUUCCCCUCAGCGACGGCAACAGGAGGAGACACGGAGAGACAAAGAGGCGCAGUGUGAUACUGGAGAUAGUCCGACCGAUUCAAUGCCACACAAAACCCUCAGGGCUGGGAAAUCGACAAGCGUCACCAUAGCAACUCCCUCGGGGAACUGUGGCUCAGUCCACAGUGGAUCUGACUCGCGAUCAGCCACCUCCCCUGUGGCGUUGGCGUCCAGGUCCUGCGAGAGGGUUAGCAUGAGUCACGGGCGAUCACGGGCCUGUUAUGAUUUAUCUGUGUCGGCUGGGAGCGCUCAGCCCCUUGGCAUGGGUGGCACACUGCUCCAUUAUUCAUCAGCCAGAUGACUGGCUGUGGCACGGAGCCGACCCAGGGGGUGUGUGUGCUUUGUAGGUGUCGUGAAAUGAGAGCGACAGAUUAGAAAACGUGAGAGGGGUUUCUGUGGCAUGUGGGGAAACAGUGAAAGAGUAUUUUUCCAGCAGUUAUUUUUUUUUACUUCUUAAAUAUCAUUCCAUCUUCUGCGUUUGGGCUCCAAUUCAAUGAUCUGAUCUUGGCUGCGGUUUCAACCCACCUGGACGUGUUCUCCAGAGUGCUGCGGACUUCGCUCAUCUGCUCCUUCCCAAAAUACACCACCGUCAGAUGGACUCGGCCGUCCUGCCGCACACACACCUCCCUGCACGUAUACACAAACACAAAGAGGAAGGGACAAUAUGGAUGAAAGCAUUCUCAAAGUGAGCAGGGGACAUUACAGGAAGGAAGUGCACUGGGAACAAAUGCUUCCCAGUGAACAACUUGCAUCAUUUAUUAAAGUUUCAGUCAUUUGUCUUAAAAAAAAGUCCAACAUUAUUGUAUUUUUCACUCCCCUUGUCAUAAAUGAAUUAAAAAGUCAACAUCUUUGUA
Long non-coding RNA from Pleuronectes platessa (European plaice), 4059 nucleotides. RefSeq lists it as uncharacterized. The transcript has 4 exons. NCBI's taxonomy places the organism in Eukaryota, Metazoa, Chordata, Actinopteri, Pleuronectiformes, Pleuronectidae. The record is from RefSeq and is a predicted model, not a curated record.